RNAcentral lists this ribosomal RNA (278 nucleotides) under uncultured prokaryote. Its description in RNAcentral is "partial 16S ribosomal RNA". It matches the Rfam family "Bacterial small subunit ribosomal RNA", at positions 524 to 801 of the family's 1533-position model. The record is from RNAcentral.
UACGUAGGGGGCAAGCGUUAUCCGGAUUUACUGGGUGUAAAGGGAGCGCAGGCGGCGGGACAAGUCAGAAGUGAAAUCCCCGGGCUCACCCCGGGGGCUGCUUUUGAAACUGUUCUGCUAGAUUCCAGGAGAGGUAAGCGGAAUUCCUAGUGUAGCGGUGAAAUGCGUAGAUAUUAGGAGGAACACCAGUGGCGAAGGCGGCUUACUGGACUGGCAAUGACGCUCAGGCUCGAAAGCGUGGGGAGCAAACAGGAUUAGAUACCCCUGUAGUCCCUGAG